This 253-nucleotide ribosomal RNA is filed under the name uncultured bacterium. RNAcentral describes it as "partial 16S ribosomal RNA". It matches the Rfam family "Bacterial small subunit ribosomal RNA", at positions 524 to 776 of the family's 1533-position model. The record is from RNAcentral.
UACAGAGGUCCCAAGCGUUGUUCGGAUUUACUGGGCGUAAAGGGUGCGUAGGCGGUCAAGCAAGUCCAACGUGAAAUCUCCAAGCUCAACUUGGAAAAUGCGAUAGAAACUGCAUGACUAGAGUAUUUGAGAGGAAGCCGGAAUUCUCGGUGUAGCAGUGAAAUGCGUAGAUAUCGAGAGGAACACCAAUGGCGAAAGCUGACUUCUGGAAAAAAACUGACGCUAAGGCACGAAAGCUAGGGGAGCAAACGGG